Saccostrea cuccullata (small rock oyster) is the source of this 444-nucleotide long non-coding RNA. RefSeq lists it as uncharacterized. NCBI's taxonomy places the organism in Eukaryota, Metazoa, Mollusca, Bivalvia, Ostreida, Ostreidae. The transcript has 3 exons. The record is from RefSeq and is a predicted model, not a curated record.
CUGCGUGAAUAUUAGGCGUCGUUUUCGACAGUGUGACAUUCAGCCACCAGGCACUGUUGAUGUGGAUUGCGAAGGCAGUGGUAUGGAAGUUAGGAGUUGCUUUGGAUGUCCAGGUGGAAAGCCUGAUCCAAAAUGGACGCCUUGGAGCACAUGUUCGGUAACGUGUGGAGUAGGGGAAACCUACAGGGUGCUAUCUUGUAAUCUUACACAAGCUGAAUCAAUCAAAUAGCUCUGCUCUAGAAGAGUGGAGGAAAUGAAACAGUGUUCAGAGAAACCAUGUCCAGUUGAUGGAGGCUGGACUCUUUGGACUUCAUGGGGUAGCUGUUCAAACAACUGUGGACAUGGACAGAAGACUAGAGAAAGAUCGUGUACAAACCCGAAACCAGAAAAUGGAGGCAAACCCUGUACUGGGGAUAAAUCGGAAGUAAAGAAUUGCUAUGGUUG